Molecule: ribosomal RNA, 775 nt
Filed under: uncultured bacterium
Lineage: Bacteria
Description: bacterial SSU rRNA
Rfam family: Bacterial small subunit ribosomal RNA
Source: RNAcentral
AGAGUUUGAUCAUGGCUCAGGACGAACGCUGGCGGCGUUAACACAUGCAAGUCAAGGGGGCCCAGCAAUGGGCAACCGGCGAACGGGUGCGUAACACGUGAGCAACCUACCGAACUGUGGGGGAUAGCCGGCCUAACGGCCGAGUAAUACCGCAUACGCUUUCGAUGAGGCAUUUCAUUGAAAGGAAACCUACGGGACAGAUCGAGGGGCUCGCGGCCUAUCAGCUAGUUGGCGAGGUAACGGCUCACCAAGGCGACGACGGGUAGCUGGUCUGAGAGGAUGGCCAGCCACAUUGGGACUGAGAUACGGCCCAGACUCCUACGGGAGGCAGCAGUGGGGAAUCUUGCGCAAUGGCCUAACGGCUGACGCAGCGACGCCGCGUGUGGGAUGAAGCUCUUCGGAGUGUAAACCACUGUUGCCCGGGACGAAUAGCUCGAUUAAUCGAGCCUGACGGUACCGGGUGAGGAAGCACCGGCUAACUCCGUGCCAGCAGCCGCGGUAAUACGGGGGGUGCGAGCGUUGUCCGGAAUCACUGGGCGUAAAGGGCGCGUAGGUGGUUUGAUAAGGGUGUGGUGAAAGUCCGGAGCUCAACUCCGGAUCUGCCGUGCCGACUGUCAAACUCGAGGGCUGUAGAGGCAGACGGAAUUCCGGGUGUAGCGGUGGAAUGCGUAGAGAUCCGGAGGAAGACCGGUGGCGAAGGCGGUCUGCUGGGCAGUUUCUGACACUGAGGCGCGACAGCGUGGGGAGCAAACAGGAUUAGAUACCCUAGUAGUCC